UCACUGGUGAACUCCGACCCCUCCUCUGAUUGAUUGCAGACCAAAAAAAAGUAUUCAACUUUGGCAUGUUGUUCCUAUCUGCCAAUGACAAUUCUUGCAAUUUUUAAACUUUUAUAUGGAAUAAGCAAAGCUAAGACAAAGGUAACAUCAAGGUUUAUUCUUCUGUUUGGAAUAAGAAAUCAUGAAAAUCAUAUGCAUCUUCAUAUCUGUCUACUGAACAGUGGGUACUAUCUCUCUCUGGCAAUCUUUUUUUUUUUUUUUUGUCACAAAUUUCAUUAAUUUAAAUCUACAAGGCCUCAACGAUUACAAACCGGAGUAGUUUUGAUGGUACAAUGAACAACAGAAGCAGUAAAGCAAUAACACAUGAGAUAGAAGUGUUUAAAGGAGAGGCUUGCUCAAAAUAGAGAGAUCCGCAGAUAAUCUUCACUUGAAUCCUUGAAACCACAGCUCGUGAGAGCUUCAAAUUGUCUGAAACGACGUUGAAAUACCCUAGUGAAAGGGAUUUGGAGGAGUUCAAUACUGGCUUGAACACCAAAAAAGAUUCACCUCUCGUGGAGAGGGAUGCAGGAGAGUCUAUCUCAACCGCAAUAGUGUCAAAAAGCCUUAAUUACCUGGAUUUAUCAUUGAAACGCACACAAACAGCUCUAAAAACCGCAAGACUUACCCAAGAGACUAGGUGAAUCUCUAACUCUAGCUUCAUUUUCGAAGCGCUUAGGACAAUGGAGUUUGGUGACGAAGCAUACGGUUUAAUCGGGUCAGAAGCUCGGACCUUGACCUCUCUGGCAAUCUCCUUGAACGUUUUAAGUCUUUUGUGAUCGAUCUACGACCCCUUAGUUUAAAUCCUCUAUAAGCUUGAUUGAUCACUAACUACUGCUUAAACUUGGAAACAUCCAACACCAUAAAUGCAACUACCAUACCAAUAAGGAUUAAGCUGCUGACCAAUUCCAACAAAUUUGUAAAAAAAUCCACAUAAGUCAAAAGUGUUGUAAACUAUAACGUGAGGAUGAAAUAUAUUUUGUAUUUUAUAACAAAAGAAAGAGAGAGUGAUUGAACAAGAGGUGAGAGAAGAGGUGUGAGUGUGUUUGUGUGUUUUGGAAAUAAUACGAGAGAGAGAUGUUGAUAAUUAUUAAACUUGAUUCAUCCUUCUCUUUGUUACAAUGAUCGACAUAUUUAUAGGGAAGUAAGUCGGUAACAUUAACCGACUUUGAGAGGAAGAAGACAAAACAUAGGAUAAACAUUAUCCUAAUAGAUAAUUAUAAACAAAGAUAUUUUGCCAAAAUAUCUUUUAACACUCCCUCUUAAUUAUCUAUUUUGUAUUACGUAGUGCCUCGUUAAAAACCUGGUCAUGGAAAAACCCAUUGGGAUAAAAACCAUGAGAAGGGAAAAAGAGUACACUGCCGUAAUCUCCUCUUGAGAAUAGUGAACAUAGCUUUUCUCGUCACAGGUCACGCAAAUGCCGCAUUCCGAUACCAUAUACGUGUUUUCGGAAUAUUGUAGUCGGAAGAGCUUUUGUGAACAAGUCAGAUGGAUUGUCGCAUGACCGUACAUAUUCGAUGUCCACUUCUUUAUUUUUCUCGAGCUCCCUUAUGUAUGAGAAAAAUCUUGGAGGGAUGUGCUUUGUUCUAUCGCUUUUGAUGUAGCCUUCUUUGAGUUGAGCGACACAAGCCGAAUUAUCUUCAAAUAUUUUCGUCGGCACUUUCUCGUUGACCAUUCCACUUGAUUCUUGUAUGUGGUGACUCAUUGACCGAAGCCACACACAUUCUCGACAUGCUUCGUGAAGCGCGAUAGUUUCUGCGUGAUUCGAAGAGGUUGCAACCAGAGUUUGUUUCUGGGACCGCCAAGAGAUCGCGGUUCCACCAAUUGUAAAAACAUAGCCGGUUUGCGAUCGAGCCUUAUGAGGAUCUGAUAAGUAUCCCGCAUCUGCAAAACCAACCAUACCAAACUCGGGUUUUCUAAAAUACAUUAACCCUAAAUCAACUGUACCUUGAAGGUAACGGAAUAAGUGCUUUAUUCCGUCCCAAUGUCUGCGAGUAGGAGCAGAACUAUAUCUCGCAAGUAGAUUAGUAGCAAAAGCUAUAUCUGGUCUGGUACAGUUUGCAAGAUAUAACAGCCCACCGAUAGCACUCAUAUAAGGUACUUCUGGACCUAAUAUCUUCUCGCUAUCUUCGCAGGGCCUAAAAGGAUCACUCUCAACAUUGAGAGUUCUACCAAUCAUUGGAGUACUCAAAGGAGUCGCUUUGUCCAUACGAAAGCGUUUCAAUAACCUUUUCGUAUAGUUUGAUUGAUGCACAAAUAUUCCUUCUCGGAGAUGCUCUAUCUGGAGCCCAAGACAAAACUUUGUCUUGCCGAGAUCUUUCAUUUCGAACUCCUCUUUCAUAUGAGUUCGAGCAUCAUCAACCUCCUUUUGAGUUCCAAUUAUGUUCAGGUCAUCUACAUAUACAGCAAUGAUCACAAAGCCAGAUGACGAUUUCUUUAUAAAAACGCAUGGACAUAUCGCAUUAUUCACAUAUCCUUUACUCAAAAGAUAUUCACUUAAGCGAUUGUACCACAUGCGUCCGGAUUGCUUUAAUCCGUAAAGUGAUCGCUGUAACUUGACCGAACAAAUCUCCCUGGAUUUUUCUUUCAAUGCCCCUGGCAUUUUCAAUCCCUCAGGGAGUUUCAUAUAUAUAUCGUUAUCCAACGAUCCAUACAAAUAUGCAGUCACAACGUCCAUGAGAUGCAUUUCAAGAUUUUUAGACGCCGUUAGGCUCAUCAAAAAUCUAAACGUAAUUGCAUCCAUUACCGGGGAAUACGUUUCCUCAAAAUCAAUUCCCGGUCUCUGAGAAAAACCUUGGGCAACUAAUCGGGCUUUAUAUCGUGUUACUUCAUUUUUCUCAUUUACUUUUCUCACGAAUACCCACUUAUACCCAACAGGAUUUAUAUUCUCAGGCGUUAUGACUAUAGGUCCAAAGACAUUUCUUUUAUUCAGGGAGAGUAAUUCAAUUUGAAUGGCCUUCUUCCACUCCUCCCAAUCAUGUCUUUUCUGACAUUCCAAAAUGGACCUUGGAUCGGGAUCAUCAUUUUCAUGAUCGAUCUCUUUGGACACAGAAAAGGAGAACAUUCCAUCAACAUCUUUUAUCUUAUUUCUGAUCCAUAACUUUUCAUCUCGGGCGUAGUUGAUGGAAAUCUCAUACUUUUCUGUUCCCUUCUCGUCAUCUGGAUCAUCUUUAUCUAUGCCUUCUUUCAGACAUUUUUCAGUAUCAGGUUCUUCUGGAACCUUUCCAUUUAUGUCUUCUUUCAGACAUCUUUCAAUAUCAGGUUCUUCUAGAACCUUACUUUGUUCAUCCAAUUUCUUUUUCUUUCGGGGAUUUUUAUCUUUAGAACCCGCUGGCCUCCCCCUCUUUAACUGAACCCUAGGUUCAUUCAUUUUAUUUCCAUCAGUUUGUUCUUUAGGAACAUCAACUCUUGAUGGAACAUUUUCAGCGGGUAUACAUGACUUCGUCACCCUUCUUGUAUCUGUGAACGCAUCUGGUAACUGGUUUGCCAAAUUAUGCAAAUGCACAAUUUUCUGAACUUCCAGUUCUCUUUGAUUCGUAGGGGGAUCAAGGUGUAACAACGACGGUGUACACCAUGUAAUCUCUUGAGGAAUUUUACCAAUUCCUCCCCCUAACGCUGGAAAUUCAUCCUCAUUAAAAUGGCAAUCGGCAAACCUUGCCGUAAACAUAUCACCAGUUACUGGUUCCAGAUAUCUUAUUAUACUUGGUGACGUAUAACCCACAUAAAUUCCCAAUCUCCUUUGUGGGCCCAUUUUUGUUCUUUGUGGCGGAGCUAUCGGAACAUAGACCGCACACCCAAAGACACGGAGAUGGGAUACAUCUGGCUCUUGCCCAGAUGCCAAUUGUAAAGGGGAGUACUUAUGAUAUGCACUCGGUCUUAGCCGAACCAGUGCAGCCGCAUGCAAUAUAGCAUGACCCCAUACAGAAAUUGGGAGCUUUGUUCUCAAGACUAACGGUCUUGCAAUCAACUGCAACCGUUUUAUCAAUGACUCGGCCAUGCCAUUUUGUGUAUGCACAUGGGGAACUGGAUGCUCCACAUCAAUCCCCAUUGACAUACAAUAAUCAUCAAAGGCUUGCGAUGUAAAUUCACCAGCAUUAUCAAGCCUUACUUUCUUAAUGGCAUACUCUGAGAACUGCGUUCUCAGCUUUAUUAUCUGGGCAAUGAACUUUGCGAAAGCCGUAUUUCGUGUCGUCAAAAGAGACACACUUGACCAUCUACUAGAUGCGUCAAUCAAUACCAUGAAAUACUUAAACGGCCCGCACGGUGGGUGGAUCGGCCCACAUAUAUCACCAUGUAUUCUUUCUAAAAACAUUGGUGAUUCAUUGCCUACUUUUGCUGGUGAUGGCCGAGUUAUAAGCUUUCCUUGAGAACAUGCAUUACAUGUAAACUCGCCCGUUUGCAAAAUUUUUCCGUUUUUCAACGGAUGGCCAUUCGAAUUUUGCACUAUCUUUCUCAUCAUGACUGAACCAGGAUGUCCUAGCCUUUCAUGCCAUAUUUUAAAUGUAUCAGUAAACUUCAUGUUUACCACGGCAUAGGACUCAGUCAUGGUUAUUUUCGUACAAUAUAGUCCAGAGGAUAACAUUCUUAACUCUUCAAGUAUAUGUUUCCUCUCGGACUUAAUGCAAAGAAAUUCAAUGCCAUCUUUACUCAUAGUCUCAAUAUGAUAUCCAUUUCUUCGGAUAUCCUUAAAACUUAACAAGUUUCUAUGAGACUUGGGGGAAUACAAUGCAUAACUUAUUUCAAAUAUCGUUCCCCCUGGCAUUGAAAAUUUCGCUCUUCCAGAGCCCAUAAUAAUCUUUGCAUUACCAGAUAUUGUACUUACGCUUCCAGCGUAAUUUCUUAUUUUGAGACUGGAGAAAUAUUUCUUAUCUUUGAUUAUCGUGUGCGUUGACGCACUAUCUGCCAAACACAAAUCUCCAUCCAUAGUCUCAAAGUUUGGCAUUCUUUCUGAAUUUAAAAUAUUCAUAAAACAUAUAUUAUUAAACAUUAAACAUAACAAACAUAACAUAUAUCUUACAACAAAAGAUAUAGAUACUAUAAUACAGUCUACUUAUAUCACAUCGAUUUAUAUCACUCAUCGAUACUCUCUGGCUCAACCAGAAAGUCUGAUACGUCGAGAUGAGUAUCAUCGUUUAAACCAUGAAAGGAUGGCCCAGGUUCAUCAGAGAUGAAGUUUGUUUCACCUCUUCCUUUCUCUUUUCCCUUUUGGGAUUCUCUAUACAGAUCGGCUAAAUGUUUUGGCGUACGACAGUUACGUACCCAAUGACCUUUCAUGCCGCAUCUGUAGCAAACCUUUCCCGUUUGCCUUUUAUCAUCCUGGCCCUUUUCAUUCCUUUCAUUUUCGUGGAAGUCUUUAUUAUUUCUUUCAUCAUAGGGACGGAAUCUUCUUCCUCGUCCUCUUCCACGACCAUGAUAACGGUUUCCACCACGUCCACGACCUCGUCCUCUCCUAUUAUCAUAACUGGAUGAUGCAACAUUCGCUUCAGGGAAUGGAGCAGAUCCAGUGGGACGAGCUUGAUGGUUUAAAGUCACGAGUUGAUUAUUCUGCUCCGCUACAAGGAGGACUUGCAUCAACUCCGAGUAACGGGUAUAUCCACUCACUCGGUAUUGUUGUUGCAGGAUUACAUUUUCAGGAUGGAACGUGGAGAGAGUUUUCUCGAUCAUAUCAUAAUCACUUAUUUUCUCUCCACAUAACAUCAUCCUCGAAGUAAUUCCGAACAUCGCGGAAUUAAACUCACUAACACUUUUGUAAUCCUGGAACCGGAGAUGGAUCCACUCGUGUUUAGCUUUCGGUAAGAUCACAUAUUUCUGGUGAUCGAACCUCUCUUUUAAAGAUUUCCAGAGGUCACAAGGAUCCUCUUUCGUAAUAUAUUCAUCCUUUAAACCAUCAUGGAUGUGGUGUCGUAAAAAUAUCAUGGCUUUAGCCUUUUUCUCAUCCGACACCGUUUUUGAACUAUCGAUGGUUUCCAAAAGCCCGUUUCCUCUCAGGUGCAUUUUUGCACCCACUGCCCAGGUCAUAUAAUUAUUUCCCGUAAUAUCCAGGGCAUUAAUUUCGAGCUUUGUCAAAUUCGACAUGAUAACUGUAUUCAUAGAAUAAUAUAUAUAAAUAUAGUAAUUACGAGAAUUUAAAUGCGUAAUUUAAAUGCAGAAAUUAAAGGCAUAAAAUAAAAGCAUAAACUUAAAUUGCAGAAAUUUAAAUUGCAGAAAUUUAAAUUGCAAGAAUUUAAAUAGCAUAAAUAAAAUCGGGAGGCUCAGCCUACCACAUGAUCCGAGGAGUCAUAGACUACCAUAUUGAUCAUUUUUCAAAGUCCGAGGAGACAUGGUCUACCAUUUUGACUUUAUUUAUUUUAAGGUCCGAGGAGACUUAGUCUACCAUUUUUGACCUUUUUAUUCACGGAGGCAAAGCCUACCACGUGUUUCUCUGAUCGUGAAGGCAUAGCCUACCAUAACAAUCAGUCGGGGAAGGCAGCGCCUAUCAUCCCGAACGGAGAAGGUCCAGCCUCUCACUCCGAAGCAAUAAUAAAAUUUAAAUAAAAUAAGUAUAUUGAAAUACAUAAAUUUAAACAUUACCUUGGCUGGUUUAGAAACUUUUGGAUUGAUAAACUUCAGUUGGUCAGAGCCUCGUGCUGAUAACGUGUUGUAAACUAUAACGUGAGGAUGAAAUAUAUUUUGUAUUUUAUAACAAAAGAAAGAGAGAGUGAUUGAACAAGAGGUGAGAGAAGAGGUGUGAGUGUGUUUGUGUGUUUUGGAAAUAAUACGAGAGAGAGAUGUUGAUAAUUAUUAAACUUGAUUCAUCCUUCUCUUUGUUACAAUGAUCGACAUAUUUAUAGGGAAGUAAGUCGGUAACAUUAACCGACUUUGAGAGGAAGAAGACAAAACAUAGGAUAAACAUUAUCCUAAUAGAUAAUUAUAAACAAAGAUAUUUUGCCAAAAUAUCUUUUAAC
RNAcentral lists this long non-coding RNA (6980 nucleotides) under Brassica napus (rape). RNAcentral describes it as "long non-coding RNA (BNAP_LNC007087)". Lineage: Eukaryota; Viridiplantae; Streptophyta; Magnoliopsida; Brassicales; Brassicaceae. The record is from RNAcentral.